Molecule: long non-coding RNA, 244 nt
Filed under: Elaeis guineensis (African oil palm)
Lineage: Eukaryota; Viridiplantae; Streptophyta; Magnoliopsida; Arecales; Arecaceae
Description: long non-coding RNA (EGUI_LNC009704)
Source: RNAcentral
GUUGCAUAGCUGGGCAACAUUAAUUUUUCUUCUCCAAGAAAAAUCAGCCUACGAAUCUGAACGAAAUCUGGAUCAUGAUCAACUCUUUGAUUUUUUCCUUGAUCUUCUUCUUCUCUUAUUUUUCUUUCCUUGAUUAUGCUGCUAUCAUAGACUAAAAACUAGCACACAAGAGGAUGCCCAACAGCCUUUGGACAUGGAGGAAGAAGGGAUGCCCAACACUUGGGCGUUGAUGCUCCAAGGGAGA